Molecule: ribosomal RNA, 468 nt
Filed under: uncultured bacterium
Lineage: Bacteria
Description: partial 16S ribosomal RNA
Rfam family: Bacterial small subunit ribosomal RNA
Source: RNAcentral
GACGAACGCUGGCGGCGUGCUUAACACAUGCAAGUCGAACGGAAAGGCCCUGCUUUUGUGGGGUGCUCGAGUGGCGAACGGGUGAGUAACACGUGAGUAACCUGCCCUUGACUUUGGGAUAACUUCAGGAAACUGGGGCUAAUACCGGAUAGGAGCUCCUGCUGCAUGGUGGGGGUUGGAAAGUUUCGGCGGUUGGGGAUGGACUCGCGGCUUAUCAGCUUGUUGGUGGGGUAGUGGCUUACCAAGGCUUUGACGGGUAGCCGGCCUGAGAGGGUGACCGGCCACAUUGGGACCGAGGUUCCGCCCCGACUCCUUCGGGGGGCAAGAGGUGGGAAUAUUGCACAAUUGGCGGAAGCCUGAUGCAGCAACGCCGCGUGCGGGAUGACGGCCUUCGGGUUGUAAACCGCUUUCGCCUGUGACGAAGCGUGAGUGACGGUAAUGGGUAAAGAAGCACCGGCUAACUACGUG